Long non-coding RNA from Culex pipiens pallens (northern house mosquito), 380 nucleotides. RefSeq lists it as uncharacterized. The transcript is spliced from 3 exons. The record is from RefSeq and is a predicted model, not a curated record. Lineage: Eukaryota; Metazoa; Arthropoda; Insecta; Diptera; Culicidae.
CACUUUCGCUGAGCAGGUUUCGACGCACGAUCGGACGUACCGCCGGGAUGUAGCGGCUGUUGUCCUGGAGGGUUAAGUUGUCUGAAAGAUAGAGAGUUUGGGGGUACUUUUUUGUCUUUUUUCCUUUUUACUAAAGCAAGCUCAAUUCUCAGUGGUUGCCUAGAAUUACGGUGGCUCGACUUAAAGGAAGCAUCUUCAAAUUACUGCUGUAUGAAGUGCCAAAAAGAGGUUAUUGGACGCGAACAAGCAAAAUCACUCACGGUGUUCUCAGGGGAAGAGAAUCUUUUUCCAGUCUCCAAUAACUCCAGAAAAAAAUCUGACAAAACUGAAAAACAGGGCUCGUACCCUGUUGAUUGCCUCAAAGGGCGCGGUAGACAGCU